Molecule: transfer RNA, 79 nt
Filed under: Treponema rectale
Lineage: Bacteria; Pseudomonadati; Spirochaetota; Spirochaetia; Treponematales; Treponemataceae
Also listed under: 1 other name
Description: tRNA-Arg
Rfam family: tRNA
About the family: Transfer RNA (tRNA) molecules are approximately 80 nucleotides in length. Their secondary structure includes four short double-helical elements and three loops (D, anti-codon, and T loops). Further hydrogen bonds mediate the characteristic L-shaped molecular structure. tRNAs have two regions of fundamental functional importance: the anti-codon, which is responsible for specific mRNA codon recognition, and the 3' end, to which the tRNAs corresponding amino acid is attached (by aminoacyl-tRNA synthetases). tRNAs cope with the degeneracy of the genetic code in two manners: having more than one tRNA (with a specific anti-codon) for a particular amino acid; and 'wobble' base-pairing, i.e. permitting non-standard base-pairing at the 3rd anti-codon position.
Source: RNAcentral
GCGCCCGUAGCUCAGUUUGGAUUAGAGCACAGACCUCCGAAGUCUGGGGCCAUGGAUUCGAGUUCCAUCGGGCGCGCCA